This is a long non-coding RNA of Oncorhynchus tshawytscha (Chinook salmon), 1625 nucleotides long. NCBI's taxonomy places the organism in Eukaryota, Metazoa, Chordata, Actinopteri, Salmoniformes, Salmonidae. The record is from Ensembl.
UCCGUUCAUCUACUAACUAAUUGGCUAUCGAAGGAGGGGAGGAGCCUCUUCCGUUCAUCUACUAACUAAUUGGCACCACUCGACCACUUAUCGGUUUCCGGAUCACGCAGGAGAGAGGACAGACUUUUUCCCAAAUGAGAAAAGGCCGUCCAUACGUACAGAGAAGAGUCUGUCCUUCUAGCGGUUGAUACUCAGAGAGAUACUAGUCUCUCUGAGACCAGAGGGACAGGUCAGUAAAACACAGAACAAUAAGGGACGAAAAUAGCUUUGAAUAGCUUUUCCCUGAAUAGGAGAAACUCUGGGGCUCCACGCUCACGUCGCUGACUGUCUGUGUAGGAAAACAAUAUGGCCACCCUGCAGUGAGAAGAGAACACCACUCAGCCUGACAACCAGGCUUCAUUGGGUGAGUCUGGGACUACGUCCUAAAUGGCACCCUAUUCCCUACAUAGUGCCCUACUUUAUACCAGAGCUCUAUGGGCCCUGGCACCCUAUUCUCUAUAUAGUGCACUACUUUAGACCAGAGCCCUAUUCCCUACAUAGUGCACUACUUUAGACCAGAGCCCUAUGGCACCCUAUUCCCUACAUAGUGCACUACUUUAGACCAGAGCCCUAUGGCACCCUAUUCCCUACAUAGUGCACUACUUUAGACCAGAGCCUGUGUAGGGAAUAGGGUGACGUUCACUGUCUGCACUGGAAACUGGUGCAGAGAGGAGAGGAGGAGAGAGAGAAAGGAAGGAAAGGAGGAGAGAGAGAAAGGAAGGAAAGGAGGAGAGAGAGAAAGAAAGGAAAGGAGGAGAGAGAGAGAAAGGAAGGAAAGGAGGAGAGAGAGAAAGGAAGGAGAGGAAAACUGGCAGGCAGACUGGAUGACUCUGGGGAGAAGAGAGGAGGGAGGGAGGGGAGAAGGAGGGAGGGAGAUGGGAGGUAAAGAACAAGGAGGGAGGGAGAUGGGAGGUAAAGAACAAGGAGGGAGGGAGAUGGGAGGUAAAGAGGAAGGGAGUGCGAGAGAAUGCAAAGUGAGGGAGAUGGAUAGAUGUAAAGUGGAAGAGAGGGAGAAGGGAGAGUGAGGGAGAUGUAGGGAGAGAGAGCAGGCAGAGUGAGGGAGAGAGAGAGAGAGAGCAGGCAGAGUGAGGGAGAUGUAGGGAGAGAGAGCAGGCAGAGAGAUGUAGGGAGAGAGAGCAGGCAGAGUGAGGGAGAUGUAGGGAGAGAGAGCAGGCAGAGUGAGGAGAGAGAGAGAGAGCAGGCAGAGUGAGGGAGAUGUAGGGAGAGAGAGCAGGCAGAGUGAGGGAGGGAGAGAGAAGGCAGAGUGAGGGAGAUGUAGGGAGAGAGAGCAGGCAGAGUGAGGGAGGGAGAGAGACCAGGCAGAGUGAGGGAGGGAGAGAGAGCAGGCAGAGUGAGGGAGAUGUAGGGAGAGAGAGCAGGCAGAGAGGGAGAUGUAGGGAGAGAGAGCAGGCAGAGUGAGGGAGAGGGAGAGAGAGCAGGCAGAGUGAGGGAGAUGUAGGGAGAGAGAGCAGGCAGAGUGAGGGAGAUGGAGGGAGAGAGAGCAGGCAGAGUGAGGGAGAUGUAGGGAGAGAGAGCAGGCAGAGUGAGGGAGAUGUAGGGAGAGAGAGCAGGCAGAGUGAGGGAGA